RNAcentral lists this unclassified non-coding RNA (6010 nucleotides) under Nilaparvata lugens (brown planthopper). RNAcentral's name for it is "uncharacterized LOC111045443, transcript variant X3". Lineage: Eukaryota; Metazoa; Arthropoda; Insecta; Hemiptera; Delphacidae. The record is from RNAcentral.
ACAAAAUGUUAAUAACUUAAUCCUUAUAGAUUCUAUUAGAUUGAACAUAACUUAUCAUACACAUGAUGAACAUAUGUGUUUGUCAAGUUCCGUUCAAUCUAAUAGAAUCUAUAAGGAUUAAGUUAUUAACAUUUUGUUAAUAACUUUGGUGUAAACUCAGCUUAAAAGUAUUUCUUUUUGUUUACUAUUCAUGUUCUUGUGUUUUUUUACCACAUUACACAACUCCCCAUAAAUUAAUACUUUAUAAACUUAAAAAAAAUGUUAUGAUUUGAAAUUGAGUCAACAACCUCUUUCUCAAUCUACUUUUCAUUUUCAACUUUCUUUGUUCACCAGUUUUGUAAAUAAGAUGAUAUUUUAAACAGACCUGUUUUGAUUAAAAUUAAAAUUUGACUUUUUUCUUGAAAAAAGCCAUCCUAUUACAUACGGUACGGUCCCUUAUGCUCUCAUAAUCUAAAUUUUCCAAUUUAAAAUAAUUUUUUUCUCAUUCUGAUCUAGGCAACUAUGUAUGAUUGACCUAAGUAAAAAGAAUAUUGAAUAUAUGAAAAAUCUUUCUUGGAAACUUUAACUUGACUAUGCAUAACCUUAAUUAGUUAAAGUUAGUAUUAUUAUUUAUAUUGAUAUAUAAAAUAGAGUGGGCAUUUCUUUAAAAAUACCUGCUGCGUCCGUUCUUUAUCAUUGUAAUGAUAAUGACAAAGAGAAUGUCAUUAUAAUUAUAUCUUCUUUUGUGUAAAAGUUACAUAAUUAUGGAUCUUAUUUUUUAUCCAGUCUAUUGUAAUUAAAAUCAGUAACUACACACAGCCUAUUCUACUAGGCUUAGUUCUUAUAUUAAUAAUCUGAUGUACGGUAUACACUGAAUAUACUCAUUAUUUUUUACCAAACUGGCUUGAAAAAGAUUUUCUUUCACUUGAGUGCAGUUUGACAAUAAUUUAUAGUUUCCCUUGAGUCUAGAUAGUUCAGGGGUGAAUUAUAUUUUUGACUUUGGCCUGUUGCAAGAUCUUCUCUGCUGCUUGGAAUGUCCCUUCAAAGUAUUUACAGGAAAAGCAUUUAUGAAAAAAGCAUUAAAAGUUUCCUCAUAACCUUAUUAUCUUGGAGCUGACUUAUACAGUCCACUUCAGAUACUGACUCUCUGAAGCGAGGGAGGGAGGGAGCUUUCGUUUGUAUCGUUGCUAAGCAACGCAAUUGUAUGGAUAACGAAAGAACGACAUGGAAAACAAAUUAUUUUUCAUAAAAUGAAACACAUUAAAAUUGUGAGGACUUACCAACGAAUUUUUAAGUGAUUCAACAUGCCUCAAGGUCGAAAAAAUGUGAAAAAAUCGCAAAGAAGGGCCUCCACCACAGCUGACUCAUCCACUGAAGAUGGACGAUCAUCCGUUUCCCAACCCAGACGCGGAAAACGCGUACAAAUCACUGAGCUAUCAGAAGAUACUGGCGAGAAGGAAAUAUCAGAAGAAUUCUCUGCUGUUCAAGAUAUGGACGCUGCCGCUGAAACGUCUGAAAUGGCUCUGAGUGAGGCGGAGGGAGGCCUGGAAGGUGAUGAGGGUCACGAAAAGGGCACCAGGCGAGUCGAGGAUGUUGUCAUGGUUAUACUCAAUGAAACUACGCAAAAGCUGCUAAAUUGUGUCAUAGGAGAACAUCUUUUUGUCGACAAGACUUGGUGUAAUGUACCAAAGACAGUUGUUAUUGAAGACUUGACUAAUCUGAAAGAGGAAUCAUCAUUUUUCCCCUUUGCCAAAGAUAUAGAGGCCUACAGCGAAGAAGAGUUCUUGAUUGGCUACACGCCUUUCGAGGAGGUGGAGAACCGUUUUCUGUUCUGCGUUACCGUUCAAGGAAAGAUGACUAUUUUAGAUAGAUUGUUCAACCUUCGUUCAUCGUACAUGCAACGCAUCACCAAGCUGAAGAGUGUUAGACCAGGAGUGUGGCAGUCGCAGGGCAGUGAAAAGGAAGUGGAAGCUGCAAACGUUCAUUAUGAAAGACCAUUGUUGAGCUUUGAAUGGCUGACGAAAUUGUCUCUAAGAAACACAGGUCAGCCAACAUUCAGUGACAAGGUUGCCGGGGUUGAUAAGUCAACUGUGGUCCACUGUCUGCCCACUUCAAAGGGACUCCAGGAUAUGAAACUUAUCGUUCGGAAAAGUCAAGAUGUGGCUGUUCAGGCUGUAAAACCAACUUCCAGGAAAUGUGUUCAAACAAUACCUCAAAUUCCAACCAAUGUUGCGGUGCAGUGUGUUUCUCAGACUGACAUCACGGAAGAGGCGAAAAAACAUGCUCCUGCCAUAACCGAUGAUCAGCUCAACACUUUUUUCGACAAAUAUCAAGAAUAUCUGCUGAAAGCAUUGCGCUACAAUGAGCUGUAUGACCUCUACCAUGAUGACUAUCCAACUCUGUCGAAGAUGGGCACAAAGUUCCAGCCAGCGCCCAUUGAUGUCUACAAGCAGUAUCAGUCAUUCACUGAUGUCGGCGCUAUAGAGGGCAAACUCAUUGUCAGUGUCUCUUGGAGCACCAAAUAUACAGGAGUGUUUGCAGUUGCCUAUGCUGAUGAGGUUCCAUGCAAAUGGAAUGUGGUGGAAUCGGAUAGUGACGACACGGAUUAUGACGAUGAGAAGUCGGAUAAUUUGGAAGCAACAAAAGGGGCCACAAAGGGGGCGACCAAGGGUGAAGAGGGUAGUGGUGACGGACAGGGGGUGGAGGAAGAGGCGGCCUGGAAGAAUGAGCGACAGGAUCUACAGGAUAUGUCUGCCUACAGCAAAUCUCAGGCCAAACUACAGCAACUUGAACUCGCUCGGCGUAGUUUUCGUGUCAGUGAAGCUGGAAAAGAUUUGAAAUUAAGAGAAUCUGGAUCAAAACUUGCUUUACCAAGAGGCACCCUCACUGGAGGAAGUGAUGGUGGAAAAUCAUCGUCUUUUGGAUUGCGUAAAAUUCGUUCAAAAGAACUCUUCAACCCCAACGUUCAAAUUGAUAGAAUGGAUGAUUAUGCAAUUAACCUGUCCAGUAAGAAAAUAAAAAAAGAAAUUUUUCAAAAGUACAAGCAGGAUCGGCGAGGAAGGAACAUAAAAGUGGUGAUUGAAGACGAGGAUUCGAGCAAGAAAGAAGUGAAGAAGAAGAAUGGGAUUGGUGAAAAGCAGAGCACGCUGCGUGAAACGCCGAGUUUGACAGCGAUCUGGGGUCCUGAGGAAAGCUGGGAGUACGGAAUGAGUUUGCGUGAAGCCGUUCGUCGUCUACAUAGACAUCACAAGAAGGUCCGGAAACAAAUUCACCGGAGAAUAAGACCAAUGUUCACACCUAUUCAGUGGCCCGAAACGGCUUUGUCACCGAAUCAGAAGAUAAAAGAGGAAGUGACAGAAACGUCUUCAGGAAGUGAUGAUGAGUCAUGUCCAGUAUCACAAUCAAGGAGGGAUCGUGAAAAAAUGACGUUCCAGUCUCGGAAACUAGUUGAAGAAUAUGAGGAAGUUAUCGAUGAAAAGGAAAUGAAAGAGGAAGCAGAAGUUCUUCCAAUGCUUGUUCCCAAUAAUCCAGUUCUCAUUUGGAGCUUCACAGAUGACUUGGCACCCAAGUUGCGUUUGGACUGUCCGUACGAGUUGUCGUGCAUUCAGUUUUGCCCUCAGAAUGGAAAUAUCCUGGCAGGCGCGACCGCCAGCGGCCAGGUGGUCAUCUGGGACAUCACUGGUCGAUUGGAAGCCAUUGAAAAUGCCGACAACGAGCAUACUGAAGAGAGUAAACAUCGCAAACGCCUCGAAGACUUAAUGGACUGGACGAAAGAUAUCAGAACCAAGAGAAGGGUGAAUGUAACUGCUAUUUCAAGCGGCUCUUUCUCCCACAGGGAACGUUGCACAGACCUGAAAUGGAUUCAUCCUUGCAUUGAGAUCAACAAUCUGGGACAUGGGGAGCCUGUAGCUCCUGGGAAUUUCUCUUAUCAAUUCGUCACAACAAGUCUUUGUGGCACAAUACUUUUCUGGGAUCUAAAAUCAGAUCCAAUUGUCAAAGCGAAGUCCAAAAACGUAAAACCUCAUCAGAAGAUAUUCUCGCAGUUAUAUAAUCCUUAUCCAGAGUCGCCGUUUGCUCCCUUGAACAAUGCUUGGAAACCAUUUCUGAAGAUAAAACUUCCUGAGUCGGCUGGUAGUUCAGAAAUCCUUACAGGAUUAGCUGUCGAUCAGCCUCCAACCAAAUAUGAUUUGAAAAAUCAAUUCAACCACCAAGGACCACAAUACAUGGAGGAUAGAUGUGAAUAUGGUCUUGUGCAUACACCAAUUCUUGGCUAUUCAAGUCAGAUCAACGUUGGAACACGCUGUGGUGACGUUGGCAUAAUAGAGCUGACGGGAGUGAAGCCAGGAACUAAUGAACUGGAAUUCAUCCAGAAAUGGUAUGAUCUAGCUCAUGAUGGACCAGUUACGGGAGUUUUUCUUCAUCCAUUUUUCCCUCAACUGACUAUCACAGCAGGAGGACAUAUCUUCGCUCUAUGGCAUAGCAAGUUUGAGGAUUAUCCAAUAAUGUGGCGUCGCUAUAGAAAGGUGCGCGUUACCGCAUGUCUUUGGUCUACGCUGCGACCUUCGCUGUUCCGAAUCGCGCGUGAAGAUGGUUCAGUCGAGAUCUGGGAUUUGCUCCGUCAGAGCAACCAAUGUCAGCGCGAUAUUAUCGUCUCCGGCCAAAUUUUGACAACCAUUGCUGGUGGUCCUUUGCCGUUGCCCAGAGGACUCCUUGGAAUUGCUGAUUACAAUAGUACUAUGAGAAUGUUCUACAUCCCCUGGCAAUACCAAGUAUGGACUGAAGAUGAGAGACUGCAAAUGGAAGUGAUGAUCGAUAAAGAGCCAGAACGAUUGCGAAGGAUGCACGAAUGGCGGAAGUGGUUCAGCGAAACACAAGUCACCAAAGCAAAUGCCGAGGAGAAGCAUGAUGAACUCGAUGAAAUACAAGAGAGUGAGGAUGUGGAAACCUCGCGUCAAGAGGAAGUUCGUAGAAAAUACAACGAAGAAGUGUAUAAAUGGUACAUGAAACGGAGAGGAAAGUAUGUGACAAAAUUCGAAAUGGAAGCCAAGGAGAGGCUUGAAUUACGGGAGAGAGCUCACAUGCUUAAUACUGUUAUGACAAGGAAGAAAGUAGACAGACAAAGGAUGGAGAAGCUGAUGCAUCCUCUAGUGAAAAUGGAACGCCAAGAAAUGGAGAGAGAGGAAAAAGCUCAGCGUCGUUUGAAGGAGGCCGACGCUCUUUUCAAAGCAGCUGUUCAGAAGCUGUUUCCUUCUUCUUCCGAGAUGGCUGAAACAAAAGCUACUAAAGCAGCUGGUGGAGGAAGGCCAUCCGAUUCUGAUUUCGAAAACUCGAAUGGAAAACUAUCUAGAUUGGAAAUACAAACAGCGCGAGGAGAAUAUCGACAAGCUGAAGCAGAUCUACGGUCCGAAUUACGAUGUAUUCUGGGAUCGUGACGUCACAUGCCGUCGUUUACAGGAUAGGAAGGAAAUGCUCACAGGAAUAAAAGAGGACAAAACGAUGGAAGCGGAAAUAUCUGGAGAAGAGCGUCGCUCGUCGGCUCUGGAGUUCAUGAUGGAUGAGAUAGAUGCGGUCGAAAUGAAAAGACAAAAAUCGACUGAAUCAGACGGUGAACCAAUCAAGAGUGUUCUGGAGAAAAUGUCAGCCAUGACCGUAGACGAAUCUAUCGAUGAACUUGAUCUUGAUGAACAGGUUCUGUUGAUGACGCGGCAGAGCGGCCUGCUACCUAGCGUGCCUUCGCCGACCGGCCUGAGUUGGCUGUCGCUGGACAUGCAGGAGGACCAGGCGUCAGUCGAGUUUGACUUCAAACCGGAGCUCGACUCAACGCCGCACACGUUCGUGUCGCAACAAGCGAAGACCGUCAAGCAGCAGAAGAUCGUUCAGCAGUCGGUGGCCAUCGAAAUGCAGACGGAUGACGAAUCAGAUGAGGAAGAAGACGAUGAUGAUAAUGAGGCUGAACAGUUGGAAGCUAGGCAGUUAUCUGGUGAAGAGCAUCACAGCACCACUAACGAACUCUCUGAAGAAGAGACCGCUG